This 503-nucleotide ribosomal RNA is filed under the name uncultured bacterium. Its description in RNAcentral is "bacterial SSU rRNA". It matches the Rfam family "Bacterial small subunit ribosomal RNA", at positions 8 to 486 of the family's 1533-position model. The record is from RNAcentral.
AGAGUUUGAUCCUGGCUCAGAACGAACGUUGGCGGCGUGCUUAACACAUGCAAGUCGAACGAGAAAGUUUUCUUCGGAGAACGAGUACAGUGGCGCACGGGUGAGUAACGCGUAAGUAAUCUACCUUGGCAUCUGGAAUAACUACGGGAAGCUGUAGCUAAUACCGGAUACGUUUAUAGAGUUACGACUCUAUACAGAAAGAUGACCUCUUCUUGAAAGUUAUCGUGCUAAGAGGAGCUUGCGUACCAUUAGCUAGUUGGUAGGGUAAAGGCCUACCAAGGCGACGAUGGUUAGCGGGUCUGAGAGGAUGAUCCGCCACACUGGAACUGGAACACGGACCAGACUCCUACGGGAGGCAGCAGUGAGGAAUAUUGCGCAAUGGGGGAAACCCUGACGCAGCGACGCCGCGUGGAUGAUGAAGGCCUUCGGGUCGUAAAAUCCUGUCAGAUGGGAAGAAAUGUAUGUAGGAAUAAUACCCUAUGUGCUUGACGGUACCAUCAAAG